Molecule: long non-coding RNA, 211 nt
Organism: Anarrhichthys ocellatus (wolf-eel)
Lineage: Eukaryota; Metazoa; Chordata; Actinopteri; Perciformes; Anarhichadidae
Exons: 3
Source: RefSeq, a predicted model, not a curated record
GAAGUGCAGAAUUUCGAGGUGGAGGUACGAGGCGACACUUUUUACUCAAAAGAAGUCCGGAAAGUCCUGAUCAAAGUUUAUCAUCCAAAGACAUUCGUCCAAACGGAUAAACCAAUCUACCUCCCUGGACAAACGGUGCAUUUCAGACUCAUCACACUGGACUCCAAGUUGAGACCUGCCAAUGGGCUGUACAAUAUCAUCGAAAUUGAGG